GCGGGUAUAACUCAGUGGUAGAGUGACACCUUGCCAAGGUGUAAGACGCGCGUUCAAAUCGCGUUGCCCGCU
Molecule: non-coding RNA, 72 nt
Organism: Prototheca wickerhamii
Lineage: Eukaryota; Viridiplantae; Chlorophyta; Trebouxiophyceae; Chlorellales; Chlorellaceae
Source: the annotation of a GenBank genome assembly